CCUACGGGGGGCUGCAGUGGGGAAUAUUGCACAAUGGGGGAAACCCUGAUGCAGCGACGCCGCGUGAAGGAAGAAGUAUUUCGGUAUGUAAACUUCUAUCAGCAGGGAAGAAAAUGACGGUACCUGACUAAGAAGCCCCGGCUAACUACGUGCCAGCAGCCGCGGUAAUACGGAGGGGGCAAGCGUUAUCCGGAUUUACUGGGUGUAAAGGGAGCGUAGGCGGCGAUGCAAGUCAGAAGUGAAAGCCCGGGGCUCAACUCCGGGACUGCUUUUGAAACUGUGUUGCUAGAUUGAAGGAGAGGUAAGUGGAAUUCCUAGUGUAGCGGUGAAAUGCGUAGAUAUUAGGAGGAACACCAGUGGCGAAGGCGGCUUACUGGACUGUAAAUGACGCUGAGGCUCGAAAGCGUGGGGAGCAAACAGGAUUAGAUACCCUAGUAGUC
RNAcentral lists this ribosomal RNA (440 nucleotides) under uncultured bacterium. Its description in RNAcentral is "partial 16S ribosomal RNA". It matches the Rfam family "Bacterial small subunit ribosomal RNA", at positions 338 to 795 of the family's 1533-position model. The record is from RNAcentral.